AAGAGAAUCAGCCUAUGUCCUAUCAGCUUGUUGGUGAGGUAAUGGCUCACCAAGGCUAUGACGGGUAUCCGGCCUGAGAGGGUGAUCGGACACACUGGAACUGAGACACGGUCCAGACUCCUACGGGAGGCAGCAGUAGGGAAUAUUGCUCAAUGGGCGAAAGCCUGAAGCAGCAACGCCGCGUGGAGGAUGAAGGUCUUCGGAUUGUAAACUCCUUUUCUAAGAGAAGAUUAUGACGGUAUCUUAGGAAUAAGCACCGGCUAACUCCGUGCCAGCAGCCGCGGUAAUACGGAGGGUGCAAGCGUUACUCGGAAUCACUGGGCGUAAAGAGCACGUAGGCGGCCUUGCAAGUCAGAUGUGAAAUCCAACGGCUUAACCGUUGAACUGCAUUUGAAACUGCAAGGCUAGAGUAUGGGAGAGGUAGGUGGAAUUCUCGGUGUAGGGGUAAAAUCCGUAGAGAUCGAGAGGAAUACUCAUUGCGAAGGCGACCUGCUGGAACAUUACU
RNAcentral lists this ribosomal RNA (505 nucleotides) under Wolinella succinogenes. Its description in RNAcentral is "bacterial SSU rRNA". It matches the Rfam family "Bacterial small subunit ribosomal RNA", at positions 219 to 741 of the family's 1533-position model. Lineage: Bacteria; Pseudomonadati; Campylobacterota; Epsilonproteobacteria; Campylobacterales; Helicobacteraceae. The record is from RNAcentral.